GGGGGCACUUGCUUCCUUUUCUCUAUUAUAACUAGGUGGAAAUAGAUAUGUAAAAUAUGUGUGCUACAUAUACACACAUCCACACAUAUAUUUAAAUGAACUCUAUGUACAUAUCCACAUAUAUAUUUAAACUAAUAUCGUUUACAGAUAACUUUCCUUUCACUUCUGAGCUUAAUGAAGACUUUUCCAAAAGUCAACUUCAGUGACAGGAGACAGGUUCUGCUUCAGCCAGACCAGGAUUUAUGUUUAAAGUAGGUUUGAAAGCACCGAAUGUCUUCAAAACAGACAAAAAAUAAUGAGAACACGUUGGAGUAUAAAUAUUUAACUUUACCUCAGUUGUCAUAAUAGCCCCAGCAAUUCUUGAAACACAACCGGAGGACUGAGGCAUCCCUUCACUGGCAUCAGCCCGGGCUGCCUCCGCCUUGCCCUAGGAGCGCUGGUCCCCUCAAGUCCCCGGGAAGUAGCCCUUCCCGGAGCAUCCCCAAAGAGGAGGAUUGGAGAAGGCGUGACGCGGGGCGGGGGAGCCUAGGGAGAAGUGAGAUCUACGCUCUUUCGGUGGGAUCUGGCUGUGGUCAGAAGACUUUCCGCGUCAGAGCUGCUCGGCCAGCGCGUUUCCCCGGGAAGAGAGGCUGGUGGCGGGUCUGCCGACCCGAGGUUGUCCGGGCUCUCGCUACCUGCGCGCCCUCGUCGUACCGUGGUUAGCAUUCGGGAAGAUGCACUGGGAUGCCAAGAAAGCGCCUCUGUGCACCGAAAAGGUUGAAAAAUAACCCCAGCACUCUCAUUUAAUACCAGUCCCACACCUUGCACUGGCUUGUGAAGCACCCGGGGAAGAUCAAGUGUCAAGGACAGUGGCAGUUUAUUUUGGUGCAUUUCAGUUCUCCUUUCCGUUUCCAGCAAAACUGAGAACACAGUGGAGAAAGAAGGACCUUUGGAGAAAAGACGUGUGUGUGUGUGUGUGUGUGUGUGUGUGCAGAUAGGUAGGUAGAUACGAAGACAACUUUCAAGCACAUUCUCUAUUUAAAAGAAAAAACAAAACCCAGACAGGGGCCGAGAUUUCUUGGCGGUGCAGCGAAGGGUCAUUCAAGACAAGCAACUGUCUGAAUUCCGAAAGCGAUUUCUUGGGACUUGACUGAAAUAGUGGGAGUUCCCGGGAGUUUAAUUUUGCAAGGCUGUAAAAUGUUUUGUACUGGCCUCUUUUCCCAUCAGAUAUCCAUUAAAAAAAAAAAAAAAACUUCUACAGCAUCUAUUAAACAUAUUUCCUUGGACUCGAAAUCUACAGCUCGGCAGAAACAAACAAGUCAUAGCAAAACCCCGGAAAAUAAAGAGAUUUAGAAGAAUACCUGUCCCUUUCUGAGUCAUUUGAUAGUUUAUUCCCUGGAGGCCAAGUGAAGGUGGGGGUUUGAAUUUUAUUUUUCGUAUGUUAUUAUUAUUUUUCUCAUAUAUUCACUUAAAUGUUCAGCUUUGACAAACUAUUCUCCUACCGCGGGGUUCUUUUGCAGAACGGAGGUGGGGGUGGUGAAGCGAAUCAGUCGAGCGGAGCGGGGGUGGGGAGCGCAGAAAAACACGACUUGCUUCGCAGGGGGCUGACGCGCAGCCGUCUACUCCAUUAGCCAGCAGGGGGCGCUCUUAUGUUAUCUCUGGACCAGACAGCCGAGCCGCUGGGCGCUACAAGACAGGCUUUGCAGUUUUACGCAGCUGCAAAAGGAAGGGGGGCGGGGGGAGUGGAGCUCCUAAACCCUCAGCAGCUCUUCCACUUGGGUUAUUUACCCGCUGUUAGGCAAC
Long non-coding RNA from Cervus hanglu yarkandensis (Yarkand deer), 1782 nucleotides. Lineage: Eukaryota; Metazoa; Chordata; Mammalia; Artiodactyla; Cervidae. The record is from Ensembl.